This 68-nucleotide transfer RNA is filed under the name Atrocalopteryx atrata. RNAcentral describes it as "tRNA-Tyr". The record is from RNAcentral. Lineage: Eukaryota; Metazoa; Arthropoda; Insecta; Odonata; Calopterygidae.
AAUGAGGGUAUCCUCUCUUACUAGGCUUUAUAGUCAAAUUAUGAUGUUAGGAGUAUCCUCUCUUACUA